UACGGAGGGAGCUAGCGUUGUUCGGAAAUACUGGGCGUAAAGCGCACGUAGGCGGCGCAGCAAGUCAGGGGUGAAAUCCCGGGGCUCAACCCCGGAACUGCCCUUGAAACUGCAGUGCUAGAGUCCGGAAGAGGCGAGUGGAAUUCCUGGUGUAGCGGUGAAAUGCGCAGAUAUCAGGAGGAACACCAAUGGCGAAGGCAGCUCGCUGGGACGGUACUGACGCUGAGGCGCGAAAGCGUGGGGAGCAAACAGG
RNAcentral lists this ribosomal RNA (253 nucleotides) under uncultured bacterium. RNAcentral describes it as "partial 16S ribosomal RNA". It matches the Rfam family "Bacterial small subunit ribosomal RNA", at positions 524 to 776 of the family's 1533-position model. The record is from RNAcentral.